Long non-coding RNA from Corvus hawaiiensis (hawaiian crow), 1633 nucleotides. RefSeq lists it as uncharacterized. NCBI's taxonomy places the organism in Eukaryota, Metazoa, Chordata, Aves, Passeriformes, Corvidae. The record is from RefSeq and is a predicted model, not a curated record. The transcript has 3 exons.
AGUGGAAACCAAAGUUGCAUGGGAUGAGGACAACUGGUUCUGCAAGAGAAGCUCAUGUGCUCCUGGAUCCCAGCUUGCACCAUCUUGUCACAGUUUCAGCUGUACUAUUUUGAAAGGCUUUGAAGUCCUGUUUGCUGAAGUCGCUUGGGCAACCGAAGUCCCAGUCACUUUCAGGAAGAUGGGAACUCCUGGAUUCCUGCUGUAAGAAGCAGCAUGUUGAUUACUCCUUCAUCUAAAGAUUCUUGAAUACUGCAUCUGGGGUCAAAUGUUUUUGAGAGGUGACAGGAAAUCUUCAUUACUUCUUAUUUGGACAUCUGGCCAGUGAACUGAUCUUCAGUCAUCUUGGGCUACCUCUGCUUCAGAGGGCAGGACUUCACUGUGAAGGGUCAGAGUCCACCUCUUCAGGCUGUGGGGUCCUUGGAGCAGCUCACAGUCCAUAGCUGGUGCUUUUGGACCAGAUUGCAGAGCAUGCAGGACCCACUAAUCCCUGGAGGUUUAGCCAACUACUGCCAAAUCCUGCUGACCUCUGUGAGAAUUUCCAGCAGUUUGUAUUUUGGUGAUGUCCUGGGUCAGACUGCAUCUUCUCUGCUUGUCAUCUUGGUUCCAUAUAGUAGUCUACAGAACAACCCAUUUUCAUCUCCUCUUGGGUGUGUGACAGUUGCUCUUCUGGUAAAUGAGGAGGAGAUGCUUCCCAAGCACGGAGAGCCACCCAGGAUGCUCAUGUGGGCAUUUCUGUAGCACAAGAUCUUUGGUCAGUACAGAAACAAACCUUCAGCUCAAACAUGCUGAACCACAGCACCACGAAGGCUGCAGGCAGAGGUGUCAUUAACAUAUCCAGGGAUGUUGCCUCCAGGUGACUACAGACAGCAUUACCAUCAUGUACAAUCACAAGCAAUGUGCUGUGACAUUCCCUCCUCCCUGACUGGAAGCUGUUGACCUAUGGAGCUUUCCUAUUAGAUUAAUUUAUCCACAGCUCACCUUCAGUGAAUGCUUUUAAUUGACAACCUGACUGAUCUACCUCUCGCGGAAGAUGAGCACUGACAUCUUGUAGACUGGUUUUGUUUUUGAACUGCAGACAUUUAGAAAGAAACAUAUUUACUGCAGAUGUCGAUGCAGAAGAUUCGAGCCUGCUAUUCUCAAAAAGGACAUGUCAAAGGCUAUGGCUGGACCUGGUUUUGCUCCUGUGCUUGGUCUGAUUGCCUGAAUGUGGCCACCUUGGUCCUAUUAUUGGGAUUUCCAUGUCUGUUUCUAAGAGCUCUGUGGAACGCCACCUUCCUUUGCUGCUUUUCCUGUGCAGAGCUCUGGAUCCAGGCUUGUCCCCAGCUCUCAUGCCAGCCAGCUCUCACUGUUAGGACAUGCUUAUUCCCCUCUGCAAACUUUUCACCAGGGCCAGGGAGCAACAAGAAACAUCUACCUGGCUCAAUACAGUUGACUUUCAGUUGGAGAUCUCACAUGCUAAAGGUGAAAUACUUCGGCCUCUGCUGUAGCUCAGUCAGAGUCCAUGUGCAGCCUCAAAUGGAAGGAGCAUUGAUAUAUUUACAUUCCUCCACCUGAGAUCUCAUAAACGGUGAUAGAUAUUAUCCCUCUGUCUCUAUUACAGGCAAGAAGGAAGGCUCCCUCACCAAAAUUCCCA